Molecule: ribosomal RNA, 253 nt
Filed under: uncultured bacterium
Lineage: Bacteria
Description: partial 16S ribosomal RNA
Rfam family: Bacterial small subunit ribosomal RNA
Source: RNAcentral
UACGUAGGGAGCAAGCGUUGUCCGGAAUCAUUGGGCGUAAAGCGCGCGUAGGUGGCUUCGUAAGUCCGUUGUGAAAGUCAAAGGCUCAACCUUUGAAAGCCGAUGGAUACUGCGGAGCUAGAGUACGGAAGAGGCGAGUGGAAUUCCUGGUGUAGCGGUGGAAUGCGCAGAUAUCAGGAGGAACACCAAUAGCGAAGGCAGCUCGCUGGGACGUUACUGACACUGAGGCGCGAAAGCGUGGGGAGCGAACGGG